Molecule: long non-coding RNA, 2260 nt
Organism: Lolium rigidum
Lineage: Eukaryota; Viridiplantae; Streptophyta; Magnoliopsida; Poales; Poaceae
Exons: 3
Source: RefSeq, a predicted model, not a curated record
AGCCUCCUCGUCACGUCCACGCAGCUCAAGCGCGCCGCCCCGGAGGUCACCACCACCGAGCAGCUCAUCCUGCAGGAGAAGGAGAUGAUCGAGAACCUCGCCGACGGCCGACCGCAAGUCGCUCAUGUCCGUGCGGGAGCUCGCCAAGGGGAUCACCUACACCGAGCCGCUCCGCACCGGCUGGAAGCUGCCGCUGCGCCUCCGCCGCAUGCCGCGCGCCAAGGCCGACGAGCUCAGCCGAUCUCUCUCCGACGAACUACGACGAUGAACGUCGGAUCCGUACUCCUCCUACCCGUGACUCGGCGCCACUCUGAGACGUGACCUUACCUGCUCCUCGGUCCCGUGACGGACCCUCUGGAUCCGAGAAGCUUGUUGAUCUGGGCUUCGUCCGAAGCGUCGAGCGGUGCCGCUGGUUUGAGAUUGGAGUUGUUUGGGAGUGACCUGGAGAAGCAGGGCGAGUCAGGCAUCCUGGCGGCUGGAGUUUGUUGAGAGUUGGUAUCCUGCAGCCUGGCAUAGUCAGUGGUGUCGACGACAACAGCGGUGGGACAGCACUACUGCAACCCCAGCGUAUCAAGUGGCCGCUGCCAUGUGUCGGUGGUGGGCUCGCCACAACCACGGUGGCUCUUGUUCGGCUACAAGCAACCCUACUGUAUGUGCUCUUGGUUCUCCCUGUGUUCUGUGCUAGACAUUCUUGAUCGUGAUGACAUGUUUGUAUGCCCCUAUGACACGUGAGAUAGUAGAUAGUUACAUUACAUCAUGUUGAUCUUUAUGACCAUAAUAGCUGAUUCAUGUACAUGCUUGUGCCUUAAUGUUGUCGCUGUGGUGAUGCACUUAGUAAUGCAAAUGACUUUUAAGAGCUGUAGUAAAUUAACUGCAUUUCGUGUACUUAGAUGGAGUUACAUUUGUAGCUUCGCUUAUUUAGGAAGACCAUGAUCAUGUAGUGUUAUUUUUGUAUUGACUGACGAGUUAGUCCUUUAUUGCUGCGUUCAGUUUGGAGGUGCACUGAGAAGUGCAACAGAGGAUAAAUUUACAGCAUUUUGUGUUCUCAGAUGGAAUUACAUUUCUAGUUUUGCUUAUUUAGGAAGAACCGUGAUGGCUGUAUGGUAAUUUAAUUACAUACAUCUAAUUAUAAAAAGCUGAUCAGUCAUGAUGCAUGUGUGUACUCUUCAAGAUCAUAGCAGCAGGAAUUUAAUUGAUUUAGUCAGAUGGUCGUUCAACGAACUUUGUAAGUUUAACUAGCUUGCACAAAGAUAAUGGAAUGCGGAGACAACUACUUCCACUCUUCAAAACUGCAUUCCAUAUGGUUCUGUCCGUACCAUAUUUCCUACUAUUGUUUUUUACUCUUUCUUUCUUUGUUAAAUAGUAGUAGCACUUCUUGCAAAAAGAGCUUUAGCUUGACCAGAGGCAUGCUGCCGGCGGGUUACGCCCCUGUUCCCAGCCCAGCCCUCUCUCUGUUGUAUCCUUCGCCGGCGAUAACCGCCGGUGAACAAAAUAAACCAACGCCGUCAACAUGCCAUAGUAGCGAGAUGGUAAGUACGUAUUGUGCAUAGGAAAGAAGCUGGGGUGACUGGAGUUUUGUAUCCCAUCCGUCCUUCCGUGAUCAAUAGCCCGUCCAGUAUACAUACAUACUGCCAGUGUAUAUAGAGAUUAUAGAUUCACGAAUUCAAUUGUAACAUCAUUAUGCAAUUCUAUGUUAUGGGAAAUAGUUAUUCCUAUCUAUGCCUGUUGGCUGGCACCAACGAGACAUUAGUGUCACCUAUCGUAUCCUGUAUGUACAUGUCGUACUCGUACCUUGUGCUACUUAGUGCAAUCAGCUACCCUGGAUUUCCUUUUCUUUCUUCAUGUUUAUUUUAAAAUCGAAUGCCCAUCUGAAAUAUAAUUCUUUGUCUUGACCCUUCAACCCCGGUUACACUGUUGGUAGACUGCAGAUCAGCUUACCUAACAACGUUAUUUGCCUCAGCUUUCAGCAAGGCGAGAAUGCUUUUGACUGGUACAACUCUACCCAAGCUGAAGACUGGGAUCAACUGAUGAUGAUGCAUAUAGUGUGCUGAUUGAAUUGGAAACAUAGCGAUGAUAUAGUUACAUUGAGCUCUAACUGGUAUUAUGAAAAUUCCAAAAUUGGUGUUUACAGUGGAACAAUGUGCUACCUGUUUACUUUGUGAGAUAUUGUUACAGUGAGCUGUAACUGAUAUUGUAUGAAAAAUCCAGAAUUUAUGUUUACGGUGCACUGGAUACUAUAUCGAUACUGUGUGCUUCUGCC